RNAcentral lists this ribosomal RNA (503 nucleotides) under uncultured bacterium. RNAcentral describes it as "partial 16S ribosomal RNA". It matches the Rfam family "Bacterial small subunit ribosomal RNA", at positions 30 to 523 of the family's 1533-position model. The record is from RNAcentral.
AUUGAACGCUGGCGGCAUGCUUUACACAUGCAAGUCGAACGGUAACAGGUUAAGCUGACGAGUGGCGAACGGGUGAGUAACGCAUCGGAACGUGCCCGAUCGUGGGGGAUAACGCAGCGAAAGCUGCGCUAAUACCGCAUAAGAUGCGAGGAUGAAAGCGGGGGACUUUAUAGCAAUAUGAAGCCUCGCGCGAUCGGAGCGGCCGAUGUCAGAUUAGGUAGUUGGCGGGGGAAAGGCCCACCAAGCCAACGAUCGGUAGCUGGUCCGAGAGGACGACCAGCCACACUGGAACUGAGACACGGUCCAGACUCCUACGGGAGGCAGCAGUGGGGAAUUUUGGACAAUGGGCGAAAGCCUGAUCCAGCCAUUCCGCGUGCAGGAUGAAGGCCCUCGGGUUGUAAACUGCUUUUGUACAGAACGAAAAGGUUUCUACUAAUACUAGGAGCUCAUGACGGUACUGUAAGAAUAAGCACCGGCUAACUACGUGCCAGCCGCCGCGGUAA